GGUUCUAUGGUGUAGCGGUUAGCAUAGCGGAUUCUGAUUCCGUUGACCCCGGUUCGAUUCCGGGUAGGACCU
This 72-nucleotide transfer RNA is filed under the name Coccidioides posadasii C735 delta SOWgp. Its description in RNAcentral is "tRNA-Gln (CTG) (tRNA-Gln-CTG-1-1, tRNA-Gln-CTG-1-2)". It matches the Rfam family "tRNA". From Rfam's summary of the family: Transfer RNA (tRNA) molecules are approximately 80 nucleotides in length. Their secondary structure includes four short double-helical elements and three loops (D, anti-codon, and T loops). RNAcentral also lists the same sequence under 13 other names. The record is from RNAcentral. Lineage: Eukaryota; Fungi; Ascomycota; Eurotiomycetes; Onygenales; Onygenaceae.